This 194-nucleotide unclassified non-coding RNA is filed under the name uncultured fungus. RNAcentral describes it as "sequence contains ITS1, 5.8S rRNA gene". Lineage: Eukaryota; Fungi. The record is from RNAcentral.
ACGAGUUAGGGUCCUCAAGGCCCGACCUCCCAACCCAUUGUUUACUACACCGUUUGUUGCUUCGGCGAGCCCGUCUUCACGGACCGCCGGGGGACCGCGUCAGGUCCCCUGGUCCGCGCUCGUCGGUAGCCCCAACCUUUAAAACUCAUCAUUAAACGUGUCUUGACUAAGUAUUUGUAACCAAAUUAAAAGCA